GUAAUGCCUUGGCUCUUAUCAAUAGCUAUGCUUCGUCCCACACCAACUAGCAAUAAUGUCAUGCCCUUGUACUUUAUGUCUCCUUGCGGUUGUUAAUUGAGUUAGCUUUAAUUAUUUUGGGUCAUCCUCUUCUGCAAUUAUUGAUGAAACUCCCUUUAUUUUGGUUUCAAUACAUGGUGUGGUUUAGGAGUGGUUUACCAUACCCAAAUACACGUAUCAUUAGUCAAUAGAUUUGAAAGUGAGGCUAGGGAAUGGGAAAUUGCUUGAGGCUUCUUUGGGUUGAUUUUUAAGACUGUAAAUUUUCUUUCAUUUAUGCUUUGGAAACUUUACUUGUAUGCAUACUGUAUCAAUAUGAAAAUUGCUCGACUGUGAAAAAGGAAAUUCCCUUUUUCCCUCUCUGGAGUACUCUUUCUGUUCCCUCCAUAAUAGAUGGUGCAAGUUUGGAAC
Molecule: unclassified non-coding RNA, 447 nt
Filed under: Hevea brasiliensis (rubber tree)
Lineage: Eukaryota; Viridiplantae; Streptophyta; Magnoliopsida; Malpighiales; Euphorbiaceae
Source: RNAcentral